Long non-coding RNA from Ictalurus furcatus (blue catfish), 1945 nucleotides. RefSeq lists it as uncharacterized. Lineage: Eukaryota; Metazoa; Chordata; Actinopteri; Siluriformes; Ictaluridae. The transcript is spliced from 3 exons. The record is from RefSeq and is a predicted model, not a curated record.
UAAUAAUAAUAAUUUAAAAAAUGGUUUCCUUUCUAAGUCACUAAGUCCUGCUCUUAGAAUUAAUAAGCCACUAACAAUAGAGAUGUGAAAACGUUUAACGCUUAGUUCCUGAACGCAUUCAUAAUUGCUAAAUGUAUGUGCGAGUUUAAGUGUUAAACAGCGCCUAGUGUUCUGUCCUACUAACCAGAACGUUGUGAGUUUCCCGGACUAUCUGGAUUACAAUUGGGGCUUUUAACAAGGCUCUAAGCCCUCAAUUGCUCAGCUAUGUGCUUGGAAAGUAUUCUGCCUCACUAAUACAAGGAUUGUUAUGUUUGUAACAAAAUAGGCUGAAAAGAGAAUCGAAUGGGGCUUCUGGAUGGCAACAGAAAAGAGUUCAUUCUAUCAUUUGGAAGUUCCAAUCCCAACGAUACAACAACCAUUUGUGACUGGGAACAAUGGGAGCAAAACUGACCAUGAUCUCUGGGUGGGAGGGAUGGCAUACAAUCGCUCCCCUGUUAAUCACAGCAACACUAGCCAAUCAUGCGCCUCUGUGAGAUAAUGUACACAGAAAAGUACACAUAGCGCGUUACUUUUCUCCAAGUGUAUUACGCCGCCCUGUGAUGCAGCAUGAGUAGCAGGUUGAAAAGAUGUGGUGGCUGGCUUCUUGUGUCUCAGAGAGGUCAUGAAAUUGGAGACAGAUGCAAGUACAGGCUCUUCUUUAUUAAAGAAAAACAAGCAAAGUUAAGACAAGGGUCCAAAAGUGAGCAAAACAAAAACACGGCAGGAAGAAUUCAACAAACAACAGUCUAACAAAUCCAACAGAUGCUAAGUAACUAAAGGGAGAAUAAAAAGUCAUAGUGAGACUAACCACGAGGAACACAAAACAUGAAUUCUUUCACCACGGUCCUUGGAUUUCAAAUUAUUCCAGUGCGAGGAAACCAGAGAACCCAGAAGAGAGAACAUGCAAAACUCGACACGGACAGUAACCCGAGUUCAGGAUCAAACUGGGGCUCUGGCGCAGUGAGGCAGCAACAUGACCCACUGCACUGCUGUGCUACCCUCAUGCAAAAGGUGUUUUAUAAUUAAAUAGUUUUAGAGUUGCAAUUCUCUGACAUCCUGAUCCAUUACAAUACUCCCAACAUUAUGUUUUUGGAAGUGCUUUAAACAAAUCGUAAGCCUGACUUUAUAAUGCACAGUACACACCUGGACAGAUGAAGACUGGAAAAACGUAGCCUGGUCUGAUGAAUCUCAAUUUCUGCUGAGGCACGCAAAUGGUAGGGUCAGAAUUUGGCACCAACAGGAUAAAUACAUGAACCCAAUCUGCCUUGUGUCAACUGUUGAGGCUGGUGGAGGUGGUGUAAUGCUGUGGGGAAUGUUUUCUUGAAAUUUUGGCCCAGUUAAAACCAAUCAAUCAUCGCUUGAAUAACACAGCCUAUUUGAGUAUUGUUGUUGACCAUGUGCAUCCCUUCAUGCCCACAAUUUUACCAUCUUCUAAUGGCUACUUCCAGCAUGAUAAUGCACCAUGUCACAAAGCAAAAGUCAUCUCAAACUGGUUUCAUAAACAUGACAAUGAGUUCAGUGUUCUUCAGUGGCCUUCCCAGUCACCAGAUCUGAAUCCAGUAGAUCACCUUUGGGAUGUGGGAGAACGGGAGAUUUGCAGGAUGAAAGAUGCACCUGAAAAAUCUGCAGUAAUUGCUUGAUGCAAAAUUAUGUCAACAUGAACCAGAAUCUCAAAGCAAUGUUUCCAACAUCUUGUGGAAUCCAUGCCACGAAGAACUGAGGCUGUUUUGAGAUCAAAGGGAGGUCCUACCCAGUAUUAGUAUAGUGUUCCUAAUAAAGUGUUCAGGGAGUGUAAUUUGCAAAAAAAAAAAAACUAAGCAGGUUACAUCUUUAAAUUUGAUACAAUUAGAUUGUGCUCUCUACUGCUCUAGGUAUAAUACUAUUUAUUCAUGAUCGUAACCAGUCU